Molecule: ribosomal RNA, 660 nt
Filed under: uncultured bacterium
Lineage: Bacteria
Description: bacterial SSU rRNA
Rfam family: Bacterial small subunit ribosomal RNA
Source: RNAcentral
AGAGUUUGAUCCUGGCUCAGGACGAACGCUGGCGGUGUGCUUCACACAUGCAAGUCGAACGGAGUAGCAAUACUCAGUGGCGGACGGGUGAGUAACACGUGGGAAUCUACCAUUAGGUGGGGAAUAACAGGCCGAAAGGACUGCUAAUGCCGCAUAUGUAGGCAUCUCGACAGAGAUGUUUAUGAAAGGAGUAAUCCGCCUUUUGAUGAGCCCGCGUCCGAUUAGCUAGUUGGUAGGGUAAAAGCCUACCAAGGCGACGAUCGGUAGGUGGUCUGAGAGGAUGAUCACCCACAAUGGGACUGAGACACGGCCCAUACUCCUACGGGAGGCAGCAGUGGGGAAUUUUACGCAAUGGGGGAAACCCUGACGUAGCGACACCGCGUGAGCGAAGAAGCCCUUUGGGGUGUAAAGCUCUGUCAACAGGAACGAAACAAAUGACGGUACCUGUAGAGGAAGCAUCGGCUAACUACGUGCCAGCAGCCGCGGUAAGACGUAGGAUGCAAGCGUUGUCCGGAUUUAUUGGGCGUAAAGAGUUCGUAGGCGGUUUGUUAAGUCUGAUGUUAAAGACCGGGGCUCAACCUCGGAAAUGCAUUGGAUACUGGCAGACUGGAGUGCAGUAGAGGCUAGUGGAAUUCCCAGUGUAGCGGUGAAAUGCGUAGA